Molecule: long non-coding RNA, 326 nt
Filed under: Paramuricea clavata
Lineage: Eukaryota; Metazoa; Cnidaria; Anthozoa; Malacalcyonacea; Plexauridae
Source: RNAcentral
UCUAUUCAUACGUGUAAUAAUCGUCAAAUCAUACGGUGGACUUGCGAUAAUCCCGCCGAGUUUUAACGAUUGGGAACACCCAAAACAGGUGCGAACUAAAGGAGGACAACACUGCAAAAGACUAAGCACAAAUGUUCCUACUGGAGGAUUGACAGCGGUAGGUAAUGGGACCUGUUGGGAUCCAUGUGGCGUUGCUGACGCUGACCGAGGUGCAUAAACUGGCUGUUGCAUUGACGUCAUAUAACGUAGAAAAACUAUCCUAACAUAAAACUAAACCCUAAUACUAACCCUUACCCAGUAACCCUAACCUAACCCUAACCUAAACC